Molecule: long non-coding RNA, 1466 nt
Organism: Ictalurus punctatus (channel catfish)
Lineage: Eukaryota; Metazoa; Chordata; Actinopteri; Siluriformes; Ictaluridae
Source: Ensembl
GCUCAAUAAUGUGAAGAGGUUUAUUUCCAUACCUGAGACUUACAGUGCCUUGGAAAAGUAUUCAACCCCCUUCAAAGUCUCAGAUUCAUCUGGAUUACAAAUGAUACUUGCACAGAUUGUUCUUACAUACAGUAGCCAGUAUUGAAUCAAUACUGAUUCUCAACUGGAUUUAGAGCUGGACUUGGACUUGGCCACUGUAAAACAUUCACAAUUCUUAGGCCUUCUGUUUGGGACUAUUUUCCUGCUGAAAAUUAAAGUUCCUCCCAAGCUAUAUUUAUUUAUUAGCAGACUGAAGCAGAUUCUUUUGUAAUACUCCCCUGUAUUUCGCUCCAUAUAUAUUCUCCCUUCACUUUUGACAAGAAGUCGAGGUUCUGAGGAUGACAAGUGUCAUGCAUGAUGCUACCAACAGCAUAUUUCACUUCUUCACUGUAGAUUCAGCAGUGCUUUCUUGGCCGUCCAACCUCUUGGAUAUAAGUUUCCACCUUAUUCUUAAAUUAUGAAAUUCUAUGACCGUAUCUUUAACUUCCUUAGAAUGCUCCUUAGCCUUCAUUUUCACUCCUUCUUUUCAGACUGACUGUCUCUUCACUGACAGUUUUACUGAGGUGGUUCAGAAAAUGGGAGCUGUUUUAAUAUUUAUAUAACAGGUGAAAUGGCCUCCUCCUCCUCCUCCAACUCUCUUCAUGGUGAACUGUCACAGUUUAUAGAGAGACACAGGUGAAAGGCAUUAUUGUGUUGGACACUGAGUGGUGUUGCGGUGAGUGGAGCUCUUAUCAGCGUGCAAGCAAACUGAAUGGGUUAUGACACAUUUCUAUGUGUGUAUAAGUGUUUAGUGCUUUAAAUAUGUAAGAUGAAUUUUGUUGUACUUAGAACCAGCAAAAUGUAUCUGCACUCUGUAUGCUGUCCCGUCCCCCCGUCCCCCCCCUUCAAUUUAUCUUGGUAAAACAUAGUCAAAUUCUCCAUACAUCUACAGUAUGUAAGUUUGAGCAUCUGAAUCGUGCUGAAAUGCUUAAUUCAUCCAAUUUAUUCAUCCUGGUCAGAGUUGCAUGAGCCAGCCAAAGUUUAACUAGCUUACCCUAUGGAUUAAUUUACUAAGCAACGUGUACCUAAUUUACUAAUACAUAGAAGUCUUUAAGCAAAGAAAUAUGAAAGUACAAAUCAGUAAAAAUGUGUACAAAUACUAAACAAAAAAAGUAUGCAAAAUAUGUAGGCUUUUUUUAAAAGUUGUACACAAAUUAAGUAUGGACACAAAAUUUAUAUGCAUACUUGAAAAAUAAGUGUGCAUACUAAAAUUUUAAGCAUGCAUGCCAAAAUUUAAAUAGACGUACUUUAAAAUCAGGUUGCAAAAUAAAUAUAGUAACUAACCUGACCAGUAUAACUGAUUUCUGCCAUGUGUGGUUGUGCAUGUGUGUGUGUGUGUGUGUGUGUGUCUGUGUGUCUGGUCUCCUGGUGACACCGUGUCUCAUUAG